CAUCACUACGCUAGAUGCAUAUCAAUAAGCGGAGGAAAAGAAACUAACAAGGAUUCCCCUUAGUAACGGCGAGUGAAGCGGGAAGAGCUCAAAUUUGAAAUCUUCAAGGGUUUACCUUUACGAAUUGUAGUUUAAAGAAGUGUUUUCUGUUGGAGUUUUGGUAAAAGUUCUUUGGAAUAGGACAUCAUAGAGGGUGAGAAUCCCGUAUUUGUACCAUUCUUUCUAGCUGUGUGAUACACUUUCAACGGUCGGAUUGUCUGGGAAUGCAGUCCAAAAUGGGUGGUAAAUUUCAUCUAAAGCUAAAUAUUGGCGAGAGACCGAUAGCGAACAAGUACCGUGAGGGAAAGAUGAAAAGAACUUUGAAAAGAGAGUUAAACAGUACGUGAAAUUGUCAAAAGGGAAGCGUUUGACACCAGUGUUGUUUUCCUCGAAAAUCAAUUACGAAUGUUUUGUUUUUAAGAAGUUAUGACUUCAUCGGCUUGCUUCUUUCUUUACGAAACUUCCUUAAUGCACUUUUCGGUUAACAAGUCAACAUCAAUUUCUUUUGUUGUAAAAGGGUAUGAGGAAGGUGGCUUUCUUUUCGGAGAAAGUGUUUAUAGCCUUGUACCUCUGCAAUCGGAGAGAUUGAGGUCUGCAGCGUAGAUCCUUCGGGGUUAGAUACAUUUGUGCUAAGUUAUAGCUUUUCGUAGACAACUUGUUGACUAUGCUCAGUCAUGUAGCUUACUCGCUUGUGCUAUUUUACCUACGCUUAGGAUGUUGACACACGCGCGUGCUCG
RNAcentral lists this ribosomal RNA (776 nucleotides) under uncultured Neocallimastigales. Its description in RNAcentral is "partial large subunit ribosomal RNA". It matches the Rfam family "Eukaryotic large subunit ribosomal RNA", at positions 20 to 643 of the family's 3401-position model. The record is from RNAcentral. Lineage: Eukaryota; Fungi; Neocallimastigomycota; Neocallimastigomycetes; Neocallimastigales.